UGAGGAAUAUUGGUCAAUGGGCGGGAGCCUGAACCAGCCAAGCCGCGUGAGGGAUGAAGGCCCUAUGGGUCGUAAACCUCUUUUGUCAGGGAACAAAAGCGAGUAUGUAUACUAGUCUGAGUGUACCUGAAGAAAAAGCAUCGGCUAACUCCGUGCCAGCAGCCGCGGUAAUACGGAGGAUGCGAGCGUUAUCCGGAUUUAUUGAGUUUAAAGGGUGCGUAGGCGGCGAUGCAAGUCAGCGGUAAAAGCCCGGGGCUCAACCCCGGCGAGCCGUUGAAACUGCAGUGCUAGAGAAGGCGAGAGGUACGCGGAAUGCGCAGUGUAGCGGUGAAAUGCUUAGAUAUUGCGCAGAACUCCGAUUGCGAAGGCAGCGUACUGGCGCCUGACUGACGCUGAGGCACGAAAGCGUGGGGAUCGAACAGGAUUAGAUACC
This 433-nucleotide ribosomal RNA is filed under the name uncultured bacterium. RNAcentral's name for it is "bacterial SSU rRNA". It matches the Rfam family "Bacterial small subunit ribosomal RNA", at positions 355 to 786 of the family's 1533-position model. The record is from RNAcentral.